Molecule: ribosomal RNA, 111 nt
Filed under: Chitinophaga costaii
Lineage: Bacteria; Pseudomonadati; Bacteroidota; Chitinophagia; Chitinophagales; Chitinophagaceae
Description: partial 16S ribosomal RNA
Rfam family: Bacterial small subunit ribosomal RNA
Source: RNAcentral
UGAAGUCGGCAACCGCAAGGAACCGCCUAGGGUAAAAUCGGUAAUUGGGGCUAAGUCGUAACAAGGUAGCCGUAUCGGAAGGUGCGGCUGGAAUACCUCCUUUUUAGAGCU